Molecule: ribosomal RNA, 253 nt
Filed under: uncultured bacterium
Lineage: Bacteria
Description: partial 16S ribosomal RNA
Rfam family: Bacterial small subunit ribosomal RNA
Source: RNAcentral
UACGGAGGGUGCGAGCGUUGUUCGGAAUCACUGGGCGUAAAGGGCGUGUAGGCGGUCCGCUAAGUCUGAUGUGAAAGCCCGGGGCUCACCCCCGGAAGGGCAUUGGAAACUGACGGACUCGAGUCACGAAGAGGAGGGUGGAAUUCCUGGUGUAGCGGUGAAAUGCGUAGAUAUCAGGAGGAACACCGGUGGCGAAGGCGGCCCUCUGGACGGUGACUGACGCUGAGACGCGAAAGCGUGGGGAGCAAACAGG